RNAcentral lists this non-coding RNA (27 nucleotides) under Rattus norvegicus (Norway rat). Lineage: Eukaryota; Metazoa; Chordata; Mammalia; Rodentia; Muridae. The record is from RNAcentral.
UUCCCUGACUUAGGCACUGAGAAUGCA